UCUUGUUUUACGAACUCGUUGAUCCGCCAACGUCCUGUCUCAAUUUGUUGCGUGUUGUUCUUUCUCGUUGCAAUCCGGCUACUAGAGUCGAUCGCCGCACACCGCCCAAAUCCCUAGGGUUUAUGAUGGUGCCCUAGAGCGAACCAAAGAGAGAGAAAUUUUGUGGAGAGAUGAUUAUUAUUUUUUUCCGUUGUCUUGUAUGUGGUCAAUACCUCAUGUAUUUAUAGACCAUCAGGGAGAUAUUAAUCCUAAUCAUAUUCUAACUAAAUCUCACAUUGAUAGAGAUUUAAACAGAUUAGGAUUUAUCCGUUAGAUUUAUUUCUUAUCCCAAGUGGACUAGGAAUAUAACAGAUAAUUAUAAAUAUUUAUUUCUUAUCCCAUAUGGAUUAGAAAUAUUUUAGAUAAGUCCCAAUGUGGACGAAUCCUAACAUCUCCUACUCGUACACACUUGGCACUUAUUCAUACUUUCUCAUCCCUAAUAUAUUCUCAUCUCGUUUUGCUCUUCAUACGGAAAAUGGUUGGUGCGAUCAAUAACGAGAAGAAUCAUAAGUGAGGAGUGUUAUAUUAAGCCACCAUCCGAACUAACAUAACACUACAACUCCAAAUCUCGUCUAUACCCCAAAUCACUGAACUACACCAGAUCAUAGCAUCUCUGAUCCCUUAGAGCAAACUAGAUCUCUCUCAUUAAUGUAUUUGUUCUCAUGAUUAUAUUGACAACAAAUAUCAACAUAAUCGCCCGGGCAAUGAGUAACAAAUCAUAGGUGUAUUAUCAAAUGAUUUUUCCUUAGAUGCCUCAUGUCAAUCCAUUUCAACUUGACUGCUUUCCUAGACAUGUUCCGCUGGACCGAAUCAAUCAUGGCCCUUGGAUAUCAUGCUAAAGUAGCAUCACCAAGUAUCCACUUCAUAACAUGGUUCUAAGUCCCAAAGGGUACGAAAGCUCACACAGCGACGAAACGGGAAUCAAUUUCGUCACUCUCUAAAACAUAGUGAUCGAUCUUGCACAUACGGUAUGAACGUAUGCUAUGGUGGAGCUACCUCUAAGGACAUGUCACGCUCAAAACACCAUACGAAUGUCGGUUUUGUUGUAACUCAAGACAACAAACCUCAAGACAGUCACCCACAUGGUGUCUUCUUUACAUUCGGCUUCAUACAGGCCAAGUAGAGUCGUGGACCAUCUCUACUGUCGACUUCGUACAGUCUCAUCUUAGCUCAUCUAAGGCGACAUUCAAGAUUUAAACACUCGCCAGCUCUUAUAGCGCAAAGUGGAUCACCUGCAUUACUAACUGCAUUUAUGUGAUCUUAUUUGUCUCAUCCUGCUCGCUCUCCUAGCGACAGGGCGAUCACCCGUGUGAGAGGGCUGAUCAAGGGCCUGGUGACAUUCAUUCUCACAAGGAUAUUGUGCACUAAUUUAAAAUUUAAUAAAC
This 1424-nucleotide long non-coding RNA is filed under the name Ananas comosus (pineapple). Its description in RNAcentral is "long non-coding RNA (ACOM_LNC041626)". The record is from RNAcentral. Lineage: Eukaryota; Viridiplantae; Streptophyta; Magnoliopsida; Poales; Bromeliaceae.